UUGGCAAAAAAAUUAAUGUUUUUAUAACAUAGAGAGAAACCCAUUACAAUUUUCUAAAAAAUGAUAAGAUAUUUUAUAAGUAAAUUUCUAAAAAUCUGAUCGUUUUUGUCUAGGCCAUUUUGGUGGUCAAUGUGGCCUUUAGAACCCAUCCAUAACUUUUGGAUCGGGUUAGGGAGGUUACAGGGAAUCUCGGGUUACAGUCAGCUCAAAGACAGAAGCAAUCAAGUUAGGGUUAGGGUUGAAACGCUUAGAGAGAAAACACUCCUUGCAUGACACGUUUUCCAUUGACAUGUCAGACAAAUGACAUGAAAGCUUGCCCUAUAGGAAGCGUUUUCAAUUGAGAUCUAAGUGUUUGAACCUUAACCCUAACUUGAUUGGUUCUGUUUCUGAGCCAAUUGCAACCCAAGAUUCUCGAGAUAAAAUUUAUUAUUACUGCCUUACUGAAAACGUCGCUGCAGGGGAGUGUUUUCUCCCCCACCAUUUUCAACUUCAGACAUUACAACCCAAGAAAUACAUGAUAUUAUAGAACACGUUUACUGGAAACACCCCCUACGAGGAGCAUUUUUUCCCUCUCAAUUUUCAACUUCAACUCUAUGCCUUGAGUUUACAUACCGACCUUUCAAGUAGAUUGUUUCCAUAAGGGUACCUGGCAUUAUGAGAAGUGGGUUGUCGUCAAAAACUUGAAUUUCAUGGUAGUUGUCUGAGUAAAGGUAAUUCGUUAAAUUACGUGUAGGUAAUUUAAUUUGGGUGAUGAUGACUAUAUAUAUAUAUUUAUUAUUUUUUCGAUUUUAAACUUGUGGAACAUGCUAUUUACUUAAAGAUGAGUAGACGAUUCAGAGCUAUUAUCCAUUACAAUGAUUAAAUUUGUGAGACUGAGGUUGGGCCCAUUUUUGUAUCAGCCCAAUCUGAAGAUCCGCCAUUCAAUUGGAGCAUAACGUUAAAAGAACUUCGAGCAAGGAUUAGGCACAAAGUGGGGAUCCGCAGAAGAAUUUCGAGCCUAAAAUGUAGAUAUCUAACGUAAUUCAACCCCGUUAGAUAUGUCAUUUUUUAGAUCACCAGGAAUAACGAGUUGGAGACGGUGAUUGAAUCCUAUUGCUCUAGUGGGAAUGCUGUACUAGAGUUAUAUGCUGACUUCGUCGAAGAGGACAAAGGUGGCCUGAUCUCGAUUACACCAUGUCCUCCAAAUUCCACGGCAAAUCAAGAAGCAAAAAGUCCGACCACACGGUUGUGUGGUGGAUUCACAUCAUUGCUACAAAACUCAUACCAAGACACCAAGGAAUCGUUCGACAUUCAUCAGUUUUGCCCCUUGGUUACAACUUCAGGGGAAUAAAAUAAAAUCGAAGGGUUCAGAGAAAAAUUUUAAAAAAAUUUAAGAAUUGAGAAUUUUGAAUAAAAAAUCAAGAAUUAACAAUUGAGAAUAAAAAAAAUUUGAGAACUAAAAAGUGAGAAUUGAUAAUUGAGUUG
RNAcentral lists this long non-coding RNA (1464 nucleotides) under Gossypium barbadense (sea-island cotton). RNAcentral's name for it is "long non-coding RNA (GBAR_LNC020331)". The record is from RNAcentral. Lineage: Eukaryota; Viridiplantae; Streptophyta; Magnoliopsida; Malvales; Malvaceae.